This 253-nucleotide ribosomal RNA is filed under the name uncultured bacterium. Its description in RNAcentral is "partial 16S ribosomal RNA". It matches the Rfam family "Bacterial small subunit ribosomal RNA", at positions 524 to 776 of the family's 1533-position model. The record is from RNAcentral.
GACGAACCGUCCAAACGUUGUUCGGAAUCACUGGGCUUAAAGGGCGCGUAGGCGGGCUCGAAAGUCAGGGGUGAAAUCCCACGGCUCAACCGUGGAAGUGCCUUUGAUACUUCGAAUCUAGAGGGAUGUAGGGGCGUGCGGAACUUCCGGUGGAGCGGUGAAAUGCGUAGAUAUCGGAAGGAACACCGGUGGCGAAAGCGGCGCGCUGGACAUCUACUGACGCUGAGGCGCGAAAGCCAGGGGAGCAAACGGG